AGGAUUCCCCUAGUAACUGCGAGUGAAGCGGGAAGAGCUCAAAUUUAAAAUCUGGCUAGCUUCGCUGCCCGAGUUGUAAUCUAGAGAAGCAUUAUCAGCGCUCGCGGCGUGUAUAAGUGUCCUGGAAUGGACCAUCAUAGAGGGUGACAAUCCCGUCUUUGACACGGCUGCCUUUAGUGCUAUUGAUGUGCUCUCAACGAGUCGAGUUGUUUGGGAAUGCAGCUCUAAAUGGGUGGUAAGUUCCAUCUAAAGCUAAAUAUUGGCGAGAGACCGAUAGCGAACAAGUACCGUGAGGGAAAGAUGAAAAGAACUUUGGAAAGAGAGUUAAACAGUACGUGAAAUUGCUGAAAGGGAAACGCUUGAAGUCGGUCGCGUUGGCUGGGUAAUCGAGAAAUCAACCUUGCUUUCUAAAAGCUCGGCUUAUUUCCCAGCUGACGGGCCAGCAUCAGUUUUGACCGGUGGAUAAAGGCCRAGGGAAUGUGGCACCUCUGGGUGUGUUAUAGCCCUCGGUCAUAUACAUCGGUUGG
Molecule: ribosomal RNA, 527 nt
Filed under: Termitomyces sp. symbiont of Odontotermes sarawakensis
Lineage: Eukaryota; Fungi; Basidiomycota; Agaricomycetes; Agaricales; Lyophyllaceae
Description: eukaryotic LSU rRNA
Rfam family: Eukaryotic large subunit ribosomal RNA
Source: RNAcentral